RNAcentral lists this unclassified non-coding RNA (300 nucleotides) under Glomeromycetes sp. Its description in RNAcentral is "partial internal transcribed spacer 2". Lineage: Eukaryota; Fungi; Glomeromycota; Glomeromycetes. The record is from RNAcentral.
GUGAAUCAUCAAAUCUUUGAACGCACAUUGCGCCUUUUUCGGAACUCAUGUGCGUUUGAGUUCGCCAUUUAACAAAUACUUUGCAGCGUUUUUUGUUGCACACGUUGACGAGCAUUCCAAGCAUUUUAAAUUUUUGGUGGCGCAUAAUGAACAGCGUGAACGUUUUUUUCAGUUCGAGUGUAUUAAAAUCUUUGCUUGGCUUGUGAAAUAACAUAAUCUCGCAAUGGGUGUGGCAUUUUCUUUUUAUCCCUGCCCCCAUGCCACUCUUUCUCACGAAAGAAUGUCUAAUCUUCAGCGCCU